This 253-nucleotide ribosomal RNA is filed under the name uncultured bacterium. Its description in RNAcentral is "partial 16S ribosomal RNA". It matches the Rfam family "Bacterial small subunit ribosomal RNA", at positions 524 to 776 of the family's 1533-position model. The record is from RNAcentral.
UACGUAGGGUGCGAGCGUUAAUCGGAAUUACUGGGCGUAAAGCGUGCGCAGGCGGCGAUGUAAGACAGAUGUGAAAUCCCCGGGCUCAACCUGGGAACUGCAUUUGUGACUGCAUCGCUGGAGUGCGGCAGAGGGGGAUGGAAUUCCGCGUGUAGCAGUGAAAUGCGUAGAUAUGCGGAGGAACACCGAUGGCGAAGGCAAUCCCCUGGGCCUGCACUGACGCUCAUGCACGAAAGCGUGGGGAGCAAACGGG